UACGUAGGGUGCAAGCGUUAAUCGGAAUUACUGGGCGUAAAGCGUGCGCAGGCGGUGAUGUAAGACAGUUGUGAAAUCCCCGGGCUCAACCUGGGAACUGCAUCUGUGACUGCAUCGCUGGAGUACGGUAGAGGGGGAUGGAAUUCCGCGUGUAGCAGUGAAAUGCGUAGAUAUGUGGAGGAAUACCGAUGGCGAAGGCAGCCCCCUGGGCCAACACUGACGCUCAUGCACGAAAGCGUGGGGAGCAAACAGG
This 253-nucleotide ribosomal RNA is filed under the name uncultured bacterium. RNAcentral's name for it is "partial 16S ribosomal RNA". It matches the Rfam family "Bacterial small subunit ribosomal RNA", at positions 524 to 776 of the family's 1533-position model. The record is from RNAcentral.